UACGUAGGGUGCAAGCGUUAAUCGGAAUUACUGGGCGUAAAGCGUGCGCAGGCGGUUAUGUAAGACAGAUGUGAAAUGCCCGGGCUUAACCUGGGAACUGCAUUUGUGACUGCAUGGCUAGAGUUUGGCAGAGGGGGGUAGAAUUCCACGUGUAGCAGUGAAAUGCGUAGAUAUGUGGAGGAACACCGGUGGCGAAGGCGGCCAUCUGGACGGAUACUGACGCUGAGACGCGAAAGCGUGGGUAGCAAACAGG
RNAcentral lists this ribosomal RNA (253 nucleotides) under uncultured bacterium. RNAcentral describes it as "partial 16S ribosomal RNA". It matches the Rfam family "Bacterial small subunit ribosomal RNA", at positions 524 to 776 of the family's 1533-position model. The record is from RNAcentral.